Syngnathoides biaculeatus (alligator pipefish) is the source of this 838-nucleotide long non-coding RNA. RefSeq lists it as uncharacterized. The transcript has 3 exons. The record is from RefSeq and is a predicted model, not a curated record. NCBI's taxonomy places the organism in Eukaryota, Metazoa, Chordata, Actinopteri, Syngnathiformes, Syngnathidae.
UCAUUAUGAUGCUCCCGCUCCUGAUCCAUCUUUUUAGACCUGUCUAACAGAACCCAACUGGUUUUGUUUGGUGGACGCGUAAAAUCAUCGGAUUGACUCCUUUUGAAAAAUGGAAGAAAAUACGCAAGCGUUGCUCAACAGAGGUAAGGAGCAAGGAAAACGACAACUUGUGGAGGAUUAUACAAUGCUAACAAAGACAAAAAUUGUAACACGUUGUCCCACUCGAGCCCUGUGGCAGUAUUUUACAGUUCUGCAGAUCCAACCCAAGAAGGGUUUCACCACUACUGUAACUCGCACGCACCAACCUGUGAGGAAUCUGAGCGCAGAAAAGAGGAAACGCCCACGUCCGCGACGUGUUGAGUCACCUAGCCUGCCGCUAAAUGUAGCGGAGCCUCCGGUGGGGACUGGCAGCGGCGGAUAAGACGCGCACUCAGGAAGGAGUCGGAGAAACAAUGGAGGAUGGAUACGGUGCGGAGCUCACAUGGGUGUUGUUCCGCAUGAAUAUUCAAUGGCGCCUAAGAAUACACCAUUGUGCUCUCGUUAUGAAGAAACGAACUUCAGCAAAGAAGGAGGGGGGGGGGGGUUCCUGCUACUCCAUUUAACGCAAAUUCAAAACUUCAUUGCAUCAGACAGGUAAACUACUGAUGGAAUUAAUACUAAAUCACGUCUAUGUUGCUAGGCCGUUUUUGAGUGAUCGUACCAUGCCUGUCAUGACAUUGUAGAUUAUUUUCAUUGUUUAGUUUCCAUUGUGCAAAGUGGCGGUUAUUAAUAAACAUCACAUGCCAUUCACAGUGUCCUGUCUAGGUCGCACGCCGCCUCCGCUUGAACGACCGUAACG